This 484-nucleotide ribosomal RNA is filed under the name uncultured bacterium. Its description in RNAcentral is "partial 16S ribosomal RNA". It matches the Rfam family "Bacterial small subunit ribosomal RNA", at positions 30 to 507 of the family's 1533-position model. The record is from RNAcentral.
AUUGAACGCUGGCGGCAGGCCUAACACAUGCAAGUCGAGCGGAUGAAGGGAGCUUGCUCCUGGAUUCAGCGGCGGACGGGUGAGUAAUGCCUAGGAAUCUGCCUGGUAGUGGGGGAUAACGUCCGGAAACGGGCGCUAAUACCGCAUACGUCCUGAGGGAGAAAGUGGGGGAUCUUCGGACCUCACGCUCUCAGAUGAGCCUAGGUCGGAUUAGCUAGUUGGUGGGGUAAAGGCCUACCAAGGCGACGAUCCGUAACUGGUCUGAGAGGAUGAUCAGUCACACUGGAACUGAGACACGGUCCAGACUCCUACGGGAGGCAGCAGUGGGGAAUAUUGGACAGUGGGCGAGAGCCUGAUCCAGCCAUGCCGCGUGUGUGAAGAAGGUCUUCGGAUUGUAAAGCACUUUAAGUUGGGGGGAAGGGCAGUAAGUUAAUACCUUGCUGUUUUGACGUUACCAACAGAAGAAGCACCGGCUAACUUCGUG